UGAACCAAUGAGUUUAUUGGGGUUACUUA
RNAcentral lists this non-coding RNA (29 nucleotides) under Mus musculus (house mouse). The record is from RNAcentral. Lineage: Eukaryota; Metazoa; Chordata; Mammalia; Rodentia; Muridae. RNAcentral also lists the same sequence under 1 other name.